RNAcentral lists this ribosomal RNA (327 nucleotides) under uncultured eukaryote. Its description in RNAcentral is "partial 18S ribosomal RNA". It matches the Rfam family "Eukaryotic small subunit ribosomal RNA", at positions 1470 to 1796 of the family's 1831-position model. The record is from RNAcentral.
CCCUUAGAUGUUCUGGGCCGCACACGCGCUACACUGAAGGAGGCAGCGUGUACUCCUGGAUCGAAAGAUUUGGGUAACCCGCGAAUCUCCUUCGUGCUAGGGAUUGAGGUUUGCAAUUAUCCUUCAUGAACGAGGAAUUCCCAGUAAGUGCAAGUCAUAAGCUUGCGCUGACUACGUCCCUGCCCUUUGUACACACCGCCCGUCGCUACUACCGAUUGAAUGAUUUAGUGAGGACUUCGGACUGGGACCGAUGCGGCUUUCGGGUUGCGUCGGUAUUCUGGAAAGAUGUCCAAACUGUAUCAUUUAGAGGAAGUAAAANUCGUANCA